RNAcentral lists this non-coding RNA (96 nucleotides) under Karenia brevis. The record is from RNAcentral. Lineage: Eukaryota; Dinophyceae; Gymnodiniales; Kareniaceae.
UGGAAUGGAUACUGUGGGUCCGAGCAUGGUUCCAGCCUUGCCCGAUUCUUUUGCCACCAUGAUCAGGAAGCUCCAUUUCACUUCCAUGAAGACAGA